RNAcentral lists this long non-coding RNA (1189 nucleotides) under Lonchura striata (white-rumped munia). RNAcentral's name for it is "domestica (Bengalese finch) lncRNA (ENSLSDG00000001191.1)". Lineage: Eukaryota; Metazoa; Chordata; Aves; Passeriformes; Estrildidae. The record is from RNAcentral.
AUGUGGCAAUGCAUUAUGAGCAACAAAAAAGAGACAGCCUUCCCAAGUUCAUGUGGAUUGUGGCUUCUUGGGCAGAGUUCAACUUCAGCUAUCAGCCUGCACCCUAGGACCAUUACUGACCACUGCAGACGCAUCACUUGCACCGUGGCACAUUUUGAUGUCCAGGAGAACUCAAUACUUUUGCUAUAAAGAAUGUGGACGUGAAGACCAGCUUGUAUAUUUGUGUCCCUGAAUGUCUUCCACUUGAGGAAAAACCUGUGGGCUUUUGGAAAAGGUCCUGAAACCUAAUUUAAAAGCAUCACCAGCAGGAAAAACCCAUCAUGAAGUGGGAGAAAAUCUUGAACAUUAUUAAUUUGAAUCGUGGAGCUGUAUAGAAACAGAUAUUGAUACAAUGCAGCUAACGUGUGACAGAGUACCAAAUGGACGUCCUUCGAGAAGUCGGUUCUAACUUCUCUAAGUCAUCACUUCUCUCUUAGUAGGCCAUGUUUUUUAGGGAAUCACUCAGCAUGUGUAUCAGCUUUCCCAGUCCUAAAUUCUUUUAAGCUGCGUAUUUCUUUUGGAGUGAAAAUUUGAGACAGUGUAGCCCAUGAAUUACUGUGAAGACAUCGAAGCCACAUUUCUCACUUUUAAGGGACUGGUGUGGUGGCAUACAGGAGCCUAAUGUUCCAUGCAAUUUGUGAUUUUCCACUUUAUUGAAGAAAUAAUUCUGUUUGUAGUUUUAUGAACUUGCAGUCUUGAAUACACAGUAGUGCAAGUCACAAUUUUAUCUAUAGGCUGUUCCAUCUUGAAUGAAGAAAUACUAUAUGUUGUUAAAACCCUGAUCUCCAAGAGUUUGUAAAAAAAAAAAAUAAUGAUGUUUGACUUAAAAUGUAAUUUUUAAAAAUUGAACAUUUAUUAUUAAAACUUCUUUCAGAAAAAAAAAAAAAAAAGGGUAUAAUUUUUGUGCAUUAAUGCUUGUCUGGCAGACACUGGAAGUAUUUCUUCUGAAAGAAGAAUACCUGUAGUCACAAGCCUGAGGAAGUGGUACUGUAGAUGGAUGAAUGCUUUCAGCUUAAUUGCAUGUGUUGAAGCUUUUCCAGGUGAAAAGCCCUGACUGGAAAGUAGAGGGGGUCUGUAUGUAGUGAUUACACCUGUGCCUACCUGAUGAUGCUAGCAGGAAAAGUUCCCUUCUGCUAUAUUUGUGUCCAUA